Lingula anatina is the source of this 539-nucleotide long non-coding RNA. The record is from RefSeq and is a predicted model, not a curated record. NCBI's taxonomy places the organism in Eukaryota, Metazoa, Brachiopoda, Lingulata, Lingulida, Lingulidae.
CUACAGCUACCGAUACAAGCGCUGACAUUAAAUUCCUUAUUUCUAAAAAUACGUGUGCACGCUGACAGUCAAUCAUUAAUUUUUUAGACCGGGUGUCAUCAUACAGACGUAGCACCAGUACUUAUCCAGUAUUCUAAAUUACUAGAGGGCGGGAACUUUUUGAUCUUACCUCGUAAUUCGAUCUGACUGAGGGUAUCCGCCAUGACAGGAAGGGAAUUCUUAGGAAUAUUAUGGAAGUCCGGGUCUCAUAUGAUACCUUAAUCCUUACGUUGCAGUCUGGGAAAGUCAAUCUUCUAAGGCGUAUUUUGAUUAAACGAGGUGACCCUAGCAUCUUAGCGGCAAACACAUCGACUAAAAAAUGUAUUAAAGAUUGCCACUGUCAUUUGAACAAGUAUGAAUCCCGGAUGAAAACAAAACUUAAUGAUAUCUUAACGUACAGUGUGUACGAAAGUCCAUGUGCCAAAUUAGAUGAUCAGAUCAACUUGAUACAAUCAAAGUACAAAAAAAUAUAAAAUGACAUAUUCCAAAGAUGCUCAGAC